Molecule: ribosomal RNA, 251 nt
Filed under: uncultured bacterium
Lineage: Bacteria
Also listed under: 1 other name
Description: partial 16S ribosomal RNA
Rfam family: Bacterial small subunit ribosomal RNA
Source: RNAcentral
ACGAAGGGUGCAAGCGUUACUCGGAAUUACUGGGCGUAAAGCGUGCGUAGGUGGUGGUUUAAGUCUGCUGUGAAAGCCCUGGGCUCAACCUGGGAAUUGCAGUGGAUACUGGAUCACUAGAGUGUGGUAGAGGGAUGCGGAAUUUCUGGUGUAGCAGUGAAAUGCGUAGAGAUCAGAAGGAACAUCCGUGGCGAAGGCGGCAUCCUGGGCCAACACUGACACUGAGGCACGAAAGCGUGGGGAGCAAACAG